UACGGAGGGUGCAAGCGUUAUCCGGAUUCACUGGGUUUAAAGGGUGCGUAGGCGGGUCUGUAAGUCAGUGGUGAAAUCCCCGAGCUUAACUUGGGAACUGCCGUUGAUACUAUAUAUCUUGAAUAUCGUGGAGGUAAGCGGAAUAUGUCAUGUAGCGGUGAAAUGCUUAGAUAUGACAUAGAACACCAAUUGCGAAGGCAGCUUACUACACGAUCAUUGACACUGAGGCACGAAAGCGUGGGGAGCAAACAGG
This 253-nucleotide ribosomal RNA is filed under the name uncultured bacterium. Its description in RNAcentral is "partial 16S ribosomal RNA". It matches the Rfam family "Bacterial small subunit ribosomal RNA", at positions 524 to 776 of the family's 1533-position model. The record is from RNAcentral.